This is a long non-coding RNA of Erinaceus europaeus (western European hedgehog), 1532 nucleotides long. RefSeq lists it as uncharacterized. NCBI's taxonomy places the organism in Eukaryota, Metazoa, Chordata, Mammalia, Eulipotyphla, Erinaceidae. The record is from RefSeq and is a predicted model, not a curated record. The transcript is spliced from 3 exons.
CUGAGGCCCCAAGUGGCGCCGCGGCGGGGGAGCUUCUUCCCGAGGUGGCCGCUGCCGGGAGGCUGACGCGAAGGCUGUGGCGCGGGGCCAGCCCGGUAGAGGCAGAGAAGGAGAGACAGAGGGAGAGACUGAAGCUUCCUACAUUGCUAUGGGGAUAAGCUUUGAACCUGAGCUAUGCACCAGGCAAACUGUACCACUAUCCAAGCUCAUCAGCAGAAGAGCACUGAAGCAUGAAGACUUGUGACUUUAUUUUAGACUUUUGUGGAGAGAGAAGGAGCACGACAGGUUGGUGCCCUGACAUGUUGCCCUGUAACUUGCCACCAAUCACACAAUGGAAUUACAACAAAAAUCUCUAUAAUCAUUCUGCAUAUGAUGAUAGAGAAAUCAAUCUGAGUACACUAAAGAGCUAUGUUGUAGUUACUAUGCAUGUGCUUUUAUAAUCCCCAUAAGAAUGUAGCACUGUGGGAGUCAGGCGGUAGGUAGCUCAGCGGGUUAAGCGCAGGUGGCACAAAGUGCAAGGACCAGUGUUAAGGAUCCCGGUUCGAGCCCCUGACUCCCCACCUGCAGGGAAGUCGCUUCACAAACUGUGAAGCAGGUCUGCAGGUGUUUCUCUUUUUCUCCCCCUCACUGUCUUCCCCUCCUCUCUCCAUUUUUCUCUGUCCUAUCCAACAACAAUGACAUCAAUAACAACAACAAUAAAAAGACAAUAAGGGCAACAAAAGGGAAAAUAAAUAAAUAUUUUUUAAAAAAAAGUAUAAAGGAAGAAAGGAAAGAAGGAAGAAGUCAAGAAAAAGAAAAGGAAAAAAGGGCCCAGAGUAGUGAAAUCAGAGGCCAUGGUAAUCAUCAUCAUUGUCAUCCCAGAAUACAGAGUUGUCCAAAAAAUUGUGCUUUUUUUUUAAAAAAAAAAAGGUGAUUAGCUGAAACAAAAGGGAAUAAAUAAAUAAAUAUUUUUUUAAAAAACUGCAUUUAAAUGGUCCGGGAGGUGGCUCAGUGGCUAAGGCACUAGACUGUCAAGCAUGAGGUCCCGAGUUUGAUCCCCGGCAGCACAUGUACCAGAGGGAUGGCUGGUUCUUUCUCUCCUCCUAUCUUUCUCAUGAAUAAAUAAAUGAAUUCUUUAAAAAAAAAAAAAAACUGCAUCUAAAAACAAGGGCAACAAAAGGGAAAAUAAAUAUUAAAAAAUUUAAAAACAAAACAACAACAACAAAAAAAACAAUUGCAUUUAGGGGCUGCGGAGAGAGCCUAGUGGUUAUGCAAAAAGACUUGCAGGCCUGAGGUACCCAAGGUCCUAAAUUCAGUCCCUCAGCUCCCAGCACCAUCAUAAGCCAGAGUUGGGCAGUGGGGGAAAAAAAAAACAAAAAUACACCUGUGUUUAGGUUGGGAAGAUAGCAUAUUGAUUAUGCAAAGGCUUUGAUGGGGCCAGUGGUGGUGCAUCUGGUUGAGCACACGUUACAAUGUGCAAGGUCUCGGUUUCAAGUCCUGAUUCCCAUCUGCAGAAGGUAAGCUCUAUAGCAUUAUGAGUGUUGAAACUACUG